Molecule: long non-coding RNA, 1489 nt
Filed under: Pan troglodytes (chimpanzee)
Lineage: Eukaryota; Metazoa; Chordata; Mammalia; Primates; Hominidae
Description: lncRNA (ENSPTRG00000054254.1)
Source: RNAcentral
UCUAAAUUUUAGAAUCAUCUUACCAGUUUCUACAAAAAUUCCUUCUGAGAUUUUGAUGGAGAUUGCAUUGAAUCAACAGAUCGAUUUGUGAAGCACUGGCAAUAUGAUAACAGUAUUGAAUCUUCUUUUUUUUUCUCAUUUGUUUCUGAUGAAAUUACUGACCUUCAGUAUUGAGUCUUCUAAUCCAUGAAUAUGAUGAGAAAACUGGGUCUGAGAAUCCAGAUGUCCUGAGUGAGUAACGGGAAAAUUUUCACUUCUUCCUGUGGAAGCCUGUCACCCCCCAACUCCAUCCUGGGCUGAGGAAGUUGCGUUCUUCUCUCACGGAGCUGGAGAACCUUUCAAGGGCUCAUUCCAGUGGUCUAGGCUGCAACUCCUGCUUGGAGUCACAUCCAGCCAUGCUUUCUGUGCCCUGAUCAGCUGGAUUAGAUGUGAAGAUUCUCAGAAUUUCAGAAUUGAGAUGCAGAGAUUCUCCAUUCAGAGUCUCAGAAUUCCCAGAUUCUCAGAAUCUCCAAAAGCUUGCUGGUCCCCCGGGCAAAUGCAGCCGCUAGGGAGGGGCACCUACAUGGAGGCGGUAUGCAGCUGGCUACAGAACAAACAGCAGAGAAGAUGUCUGAGUUGGAGGACAUUGAGGCUCCACCAGCCCUAGGGGGCACAGGAGACCAGGGACACACGAAACAGAACAGCAGCCUGACCUCUGCCCUGGGUCACACUGGCAUGGGCUCCAUCUGUUCCUGAAUGAGGAGAGAGGCUGAAGUGAGAGCCUGACAUUUGUCCUUCUCUCAUCUUUCUGUCUAGCCUGUCCCUUAAUCGGGCUCUGAUAAGAGGCGACAGGAGACUCAUAUAAGCACCAGCUUUUGGUCCUUGAUGAUAGGUUACUGUAAAUGACAUGGAGGCCCUUUACCAAGAAUGGAUAAAUUGCUCCCAACAGAGGCAGGAGGAACGCUUGAAGCCAGGAGUCUGAGACCAGCCUGGACAACAUAGCGAGACCCCAACUCUACCAAAAAUUUAAUCAUUAGCCAGGUGCUGUGGUAAGCACCUGUAGUCCCAGCUACUUGGGAGAUCGAGGUGGGAGAAUCACGUGAGCCUGGGAGGUUGAGGCUGCAGUGAGCUGAGAACACGCCACUGCACUCCAGCCUGGUGGACAGAGUGAGACUUUGUAUUUAAAAAAAAAAAAAAAAAAAUCAGCCAGGUGCAGUGGCUCACACCUGUAAUCCCAGCACUUUGGGAGGAUGAGGCAGGUGUAUCUCUUGAGGUCAGGAGUUUGAGAGCAGCCUGGCCAAAAUGGUGAAACCUCAUCUCUACUAAAAAAAAAAAAUACAAAAAUUUGCUGGGCAUGCUGGCGGGCAGCUGUAAUCCCAGCUACUUGGGAAGCUGAGGCAGGAGAAUUGCUUGAACCCUGGAGGCGGAGGCUGCAGUGAGAUGAGAUCGCACCAUUGCAAUCAAGGCUGGGCAACAAGAGCGAGACGCCAUCUCAAAAAAAAAAAAAAAA